Molecule: transfer RNA, 66 nt
Filed under: Tagasta indica
Lineage: Eukaryota; Metazoa; Arthropoda; Insecta; Orthoptera; Pyrgomorphidae
Description: tRNA-Thr
Source: RNAcentral
AGUUUUAAAAAGGGGCUGUAUUAAUUUCGACUUACAAGGUCGAUGUUUUUAUUAAACUAUUAAAAC